Molecule: ribosomal RNA, 558 nt
Filed under: Spirochaetaceae bacterium enrichment culture clone H7
Lineage: Bacteria; Pseudomonadati; Spirochaetota; Spirochaetia; Spirochaetales; Spirochaetaceae
Description: bacterial SSU rRNA
Rfam family: Bacterial small subunit ribosomal RNA
Source: RNAcentral
AACAAACGCUGGCGGCGUGUCUUAAGCAUGCAAGUCGAGCGGCAGGCGCAGCAAUGCGCUGAGAGCGGCGGACUGGUGAGUAACGCGUGGGCAAUCUACCUUUGGCAUGGGGAUAGCCACUAGAAAUAGUGGGUAAUACCGAAUACGUUCCCUGGGGGGAGGUUUCAGGGAAGAAAGGGUGCUACGGCACCGGCCGGAGAUGAGCUCGCGUCCCAUUAGCUAGUUGGUGAGGUAACGGCCCACCAAGGCGAUGAUGGGUAGCCGGCCUGAGAGGGUGUACGGCCACACUGGGACUGAGAUACGGCCCAGACUCCUACGGGAGGCAGCAGCUAAGAAUAUUCCGCAAUGGACGAAAGUCUGACGGAGCGACGCCGCGUGGAUGAUGAAGGCCGAAAGGUUGUAAAGUCCUUUUGCUGGGGAAGAAUAAGUGUGGGAGGGAAUGCCCGCAUGAUGACAUGAACCGGCGAAUAAGCCCCGGCCAACUACGUGCCAGCAGCCGCGGGUAACACGUAGGGGCGAGCGUUGUUCGGAAUUACUGGCGUAAAGGGCAUGUAGGCG